GGUGGCUCAGUGGUAGAGUGCUUACCUUGCAUGUAACAGGCCCUGGGUUGGAUUUCUCAGCACCA
Molecule: transfer RNA, 65 nt
Filed under: Dipodomys ordii (Ord's kangaroo rat)
Lineage: Eukaryota; Metazoa; Chordata; Mammalia; Rodentia; Heteromyidae
Rfam family: tRNA
About the family: Transfer RNA (tRNA) molecules are approximately 80 nucleotides in length. Their secondary structure includes four short double-helical elements and three loops (D, anti-codon, and T loops).
Source: Rfam by way of RNAcentral